GAUGAACGCUGGCGGCGUGCCUAAUACAUGCAAGUCGAGCGAACAGACGCGGCUCUUGCUCCUCUCACGUUAGCGGCGGACGUGUGAGUAACACGUGUAUCCCCUACCUAUAAGACUGGUAUCACUUCGGGAAACCGGCGCUAAUACCGUAUAAUAUAUUGAACCGCAUGGUUCAAUAGUGAAAUACGGUUUUGCUGUCACUUAUAGAUGUUUCCGCGCCGCAUUAGCUAGUUGGUAAGGUAACGGCUUACCAAGGCAACGAUGCGUAGCCGACCUGAGAGGGGGAUAGGCCACACUGGAACGGAGACACGGUCCAGACUCCUACGGGAGGCAGCAGUAGGGAAUCUUCCGCAAUGGGCGAAAGCAUGACGGAGCAACGCGGCGUGAGUGAUGAAGGUCUUCGGAGCGUAAAAAUCUGUUAUUAGGGAAGAACAAAUGUGGAAGGAAAUAUGCACGUCUUGACGGUACCUAAUCAGAAAGCAACGGCUAACUACGUG
RNAcentral lists this ribosomal RNA (497 nucleotides) under uncultured bacterium. RNAcentral's name for it is "partial 16S ribosomal RNA". It matches the Rfam family "Bacterial small subunit ribosomal RNA", at positions 28 to 507 of the family's 1533-position model. The record is from RNAcentral.